This 255-nucleotide ribosomal RNA is filed under the name uncultured bacterium. RNAcentral describes it as "partial 16S ribosomal RNA". It matches the Rfam family "Bacterial small subunit ribosomal RNA", at positions 98 to 354 of the family's 1533-position model. The record is from RNAcentral.
CGGGACGGGUGAGUAACACGUGGAUAAUCUGCCCUGCACAGGGGGACAACAGCUAGAAAUGGCUGCUAAUACCGCAUAAGCCUACAGCCUCGCAUGAGGGAGUAGGAAAAGAAAUUCGGUGCAGGAUGAGUCCGCGUCUGAUUAGCUAGUUGGAGGGGUAAAAGCCCACCAAGGCAACGAUCAGUAGCCGGCCUGAGAGGGCGACCGGCCACAUUGGGACUGAGACACGGCCCAAACUCCUACGGAAGGCAGCAG